RNAcentral lists this ribosomal RNA (494 nucleotides) under uncultured bacterium. RNAcentral describes it as "partial 16S ribosomal RNA". It matches the Rfam family "Bacterial small subunit ribosomal RNA", at positions 28 to 507 of the family's 1533-position model. The record is from RNAcentral.
GACGAACGCUGGCGGCGUGCUUAACACAUGCAAGUCGAACGGAAAGGCCUGCUUUCCCUUGUGGAUUGCGGGUACUCGAGUGGCGAACGGGUGAGUAACACGUGAGUGAUCUGCCCCCAACUUGGGUAUAAGCCUGGGAAACUGGGUCUAAUUCCCGAUAGGACUGCAGGGUGGUGCCUGUGGUGGAAAACGAUUUUCUAGUGGUUGGGGAUGAGCUCGCGGCCUAUCAGCUUGUUGGUGGGGUAAUGGCCUAUCAAGGCGGCGACGGGUAGCCGGCCUGAGAGGGUGGACGGCCACAUUGGGACUGAGAUACGGCCCAGACUCCUACGGGAGGCAGCAGUGGGGAAUAUUGCACAAUGGGCGGAAGCCUGAUGCAGCGACGCCGCGUGGGGGAUGACGGCCUUCGGGUUGUAAACUCCUUUCGACCGCGAGGAAGCCACCUGGUUGGAAGGGUGGUGACGGUAGUGGUAGAAGAAGCACCGGCUAACUACGUG